RNAcentral lists this ribosomal RNA (591 nucleotides) under uncultured bacterium. Its description in RNAcentral is "bacterial SSU rRNA". It matches the Rfam family "Bacterial small subunit ribosomal RNA", at positions 395 to 1001 of the family's 1533-position model. The record is from RNAcentral.
CGCCGCGUGCGGGAUGAAGGCCUUCGGGUCGUAACCGCUUUUACCAGGAAGGAAAAUGACAGUACCUGGAGAAUAAGGUGCGGCCAACUACGUGCCAGCAGCCGCGGUGACACGUAGGCACCAAGCGUUGUCCGGAUUUAUUGGGCGUAAAGAGCUCGUAGGCGGUUCAGUAAGUCGGGUGUGAAAACUCUGGGCUUAACCCAGAGACGCCACCCGAUACUGCUGUGACUUGAGUCCGGUAGGGGAGUGGGGAAUUCCUGGUGUAGCGGUGAAAUGCGCAGAUAUCAGGAGGAACACCAAUGGCGAAGGCACCACUCUGGGCCGAGACUGACGCUGAGGAGCGAAAGCGUGGGUAGCAAACAGGAUUAGAUACCCUGGUAGUCCACGCCGUAAACGGUGGGCACUAGAUGUGGGUUCCAACCAACGGAAUCCGCGUCGUCGCUAACGCAUUAAGUGCCCCGCCUGGGGAGUACGGCCGCAAGGUUAAAACUCAAAGGAAUUGACGGGGGCCCGCACAAGCAGCGGAGCGUGUAGAUUAAUUCGAUGCUAUGCGAAGAACCUUNACUGGGGUUGACAUGUACGGAAAAGCCA